RNAcentral lists this unclassified non-coding RNA (324 nucleotides) under soil metagenome. RNAcentral's name for it is "partial contains 5.8S ribosomal RNA, internal transcribed spacer 2, and large subunit ribosomal RNA". The stretch from base 1 to 120 matches the Rfam family "5.8S ribosomal RNA", at positions 35 to 154 of the family's 154-position model. The record is from RNAcentral.
GAUGAAGAACGCAGCGAAAUGCGAUAAGUAAUGCGAAUUGCAGAAUUCAGUGAGUCAUCGAAUCUUUGAACGCACAUUGCGCCCUGUGGUAUUCCGCAGGGCAUGCCUGUUCGAGCGUCAUUUCAACCCUCAAGCCCCGCUUGGUGUUGGGCCCCGCCCGCCGUGGCCGGCCCUAAAGACAGUGGCGGCGCCGCCUGGCCCUCAGCGUAGUACAGCUCUCGCUCCAGGGUCCGGCGGCCGCCUGCCAGAACCCCCCCAACUCUGUGGUUGACCUCGGAUCAGGUAGGGAUACCCGCUGAACUUAAGCAUAUCAAUAAGCGAGGA